RNAcentral lists this long non-coding RNA (707 nucleotides) under Ananas comosus (pineapple). Its description in RNAcentral is "long non-coding RNA (ACOM_LNC023660)". The record is from RNAcentral. Lineage: Eukaryota; Viridiplantae; Streptophyta; Magnoliopsida; Poales; Bromeliaceae.
AAAUUGAACCCAUGCCACUGGUUUUGAUACCACUUGCAAAUUGUAAGUUCCAACCAACUAUUCUAAAAGCACAUGCUGAUCGAUAUGGCGGACCUAUCGUACUUAAGGGUUCAAUCACAGUGCUUCACGGGCUUCGACUUGACUCAACACAUCUGGACGUUAGGUCUAUUAUUUGUUGAGUCUCACUACAAUAAAAAGGUGUAUAGAGACACUUUUAAAUAUUGGUAUAGGUCAAAAAAAAGUGCUGUUGGCUAAAUUACCGAUACUUUUUAAAAGUGUUGCUAUAUCUGGGGUCGCUAUAGGUAGGGCCGCCUUAAUAUUUGGCACCCACUCCUCCAGCGACUUGUGGCGGAGGGAUAUGUAGCGAUCGUAGCCUUUUACGGUCGCUAUGAGAUCCUCGCAGCCGAACUCCAGCCGCUGGAACCCUAUCUCAUCGCUCUCGGCGGCGGAGGAGAAGAAAGGGAGACGGUGAUCAAUUUUUCUUUUUCUUUUUUUCCUUUUUUAUUUGUAAUCAGGCCGAGUCGGCUGGGUGUGGUUGGUUGAGUAGAGAAAUUGUUUGUUUUUGAUUGGAUUGGGCUUUAUAUUUAAAGCCUAAUAGAUUUUUUAAAAAAUUUUUGGCAUAAAUGAGAUACUUAAUUAUAUAAAAGUGUCCCAAAAAUGUCCUUAUAACCUAAUUCUGUUGUAGUGGAUCUCUUACCGUUUCAUCU